This 433-nucleotide ribosomal RNA is filed under the name uncultured bacterium. Its description in RNAcentral is "partial 16S ribosomal RNA". It matches the Rfam family "Bacterial small subunit ribosomal RNA", at positions 29 to 507 of the family's 1533-position model. The record is from RNAcentral.
AACGAACGCUGGCGGCAUGCCUAUCACAUGCAAGUCGAACGAGACCUUCGGGUCUAGUGGCGCACGGGUGCGUAACGCGUGGGAACCUGCCCUUAGGUUCGGAAUAACUCCCCGAAAGGGGUGCUAAUACCGGAUAAUGUCUUCGGACCAAAGAUUUAUCGCCUUUGGAUGGGCCCGCGUUGGAUUAGCUAGUUGGUAGGGUAAAAGCCUACCAAGGCGACGAUCCAUAGCUGGUCGGAGAGGAUGAUCAGCCACACUGGGACUGAGACACGGCCCAGACUCCUACGGGAGGCAGCAGUGGGUAAUAUUGGACAAUGGGCGAAAGCCUGAUCCAGCAAUGCCGCGUGAGUGAUGAAGGCCUUAGGGUUGUAAAGCUCUUUUACCCGGGAUGAUAAUGACAGUACCGGGAGAAUAAGCUCCGGCUAACUCCGUG